AUUAUUUUGGCAGAAAAGUGCGAUAGAUUUAGAAUCUUUUAAUGUGAAUUAUUACAAAUAAUA
This 63-nucleotide transfer RNA is filed under the name Pediacus sp. MJ-2020. RNAcentral describes it as "tRNA-Leu". Lineage: Eukaryota; Metazoa; Arthropoda; Insecta; Coleoptera; Cucujidae. The record is from RNAcentral.